This 253-nucleotide ribosomal RNA is filed under the name uncultured bacterium. Its description in RNAcentral is "partial 16S ribosomal RNA". It matches the Rfam family "Bacterial small subunit ribosomal RNA", at positions 524 to 776 of the family's 1533-position model. The record is from RNAcentral.
UACGUAGGGUCCGAGCGUUGUCCGGAAUUACUGGGCGUAAAGAGCUCGUAGGUGGUUUGUCGCGUUGUCCGUGAAAACUCACAGCUCAACUGUGGGCGUGCGGGCGAUACGGGCAGACUGGAGUACUGCAGGGGAGACUGGAAUUCCUGGUGUAGCGGUGGAAUGCGCAGAUAUCAGGAGGAACACCAAUGGCGAAGGCAGAUCUCUGGGCCACUACUGACGCUGAGAAGCGAAAGCAUGGGGAGCGAACAGG